UACGAAGGGUGCGAGCGUUAAUCGGAAUUACUGGGCGUAAAGCGCGCGUAGGUGGUUUUGUAAGCGGAAUGUGAAAUCCCCGGGCUUAACCUGGGAACUGCAUGCCGAACUGCAAGGCUAGAGUAUAGUAGAGGGGUGUGGAAUUCCCGGUGUAGCGGUGAAAUGCGUAGAUAUCGGGAGGAACAUCAGUGGCGAAGGCGGCACCCUGGACUGAUACUGACACUGAGGCGCGAAAGCGUGGGUAGCGAACAGG
This 253-nucleotide ribosomal RNA is filed under the name uncultured bacterium. RNAcentral's name for it is "partial 16S ribosomal RNA". It matches the Rfam family "Bacterial small subunit ribosomal RNA", at positions 524 to 776 of the family's 1533-position model. The record is from RNAcentral. RNAcentral also lists the same sequence under 1 other name.